Marmota marmota marmota (Alpine marmot) is the source of this 105-nucleotide small nuclear RNA. The record is from Ensembl. NCBI's taxonomy places the organism in Eukaryota, Metazoa, Chordata, Mammalia, Rodentia, Sciuridae.
GUGCUCACUUCAGCAGCACAUAUACUAAAAUUGGAACGACUCAGAGAAGAUUAGCAUGGUCUGUGUAAGGAUGACAUGCAAAUCCGUGAAGCAUUCCAUAUGUUA